GUAAACGGCUGCAUAAAUCUGAGUGUACUAAGGUAGCGCUAUAAUUUGCCCUUUAAAUGGGGGCUGGUAUGAAUGGGUUCACGUGAGAUUUGCUGUGUCAUAGGAAAUUGAUUGAAAUUAACUUUCAGGUGAAGAGGCCUGGCUAAAUGUAAAGGACGACAAGACCCUAGAAGCUUUACUUAAAGUGAAAUUGCAGGUUUAAUUCACCAAAGUUUUGUUGGGGCAACAUAGUUAGAAGAUAUAACUGAUUAUUAUUUACCGACAGGUUUUAACCACACUGGUGGAUAAGAUAAGUUACUCUAGGGAUAACAGCGUAAUUUUUUUUAAUAGUACGUAUUGUAAAAAAAGUUUGCGACCUCGAUGUUGGAUUAGGGUUUCCUUAGGGUGUAGAAGCUCUAGAGGGUUGGCCUGUUCGUCCAUUAAAACCCUACA
RNAcentral lists this ribosomal RNA (432 nucleotides) under Idas sp. SAL4. Its description in RNAcentral is "partial 16S ribosomal RNA". It matches the Rfam family "Bacterial large subunit ribosomal RNA", at positions 1923 to 2600 of the family's 2925-position model. The record is from RNAcentral. Lineage: Eukaryota; Metazoa; Mollusca; Bivalvia; Mytilida; Modiolidae.